UUGACCUCAAAUCAGGUAGGACUACCCGCUGAACUUAAGCAUAUCAAUAAGCGGAGGAAAAGAAACUAACAAGGAUUCCCCUAGUAACUGCGAGUGAAGCGGGAAAAGCUCAAAUUUGAAAUCUGGCGGUUCCUGACCGUCCGAGUUGUAAUCUAGAGAAGUGUUACCUGUGCUGGACCGUGUACAAGUCUCCUGGAAUGGAGCAUCAUAGAGGGUGAGAAUCCCGUCUUUGACACGGACUGCCUGUACGUUGUGGUGCGCUCUCAAAGAGUCGAGUUGUUUGGGAAUGCAGCUCAAAAUGGGUGGUAAAUGCCAUCUAAAGCUAAAUAUUGGCGAGAGACCGAUAGCGAACAAGUACCGUGAGGGAAAGAUGAAAAGAACUUUGGAAAGAGAGUCAAACAGUACGUGAAAUUGCUGAAAGGGAAACGCUUGAAGUCAGUCGCGUUGGCUAGGAAUCAGUCAUGCUCUUGCUUGACGUACUUUCUGGUCGACGGGUCAGCAUCAAUUUUGACCAUUGGAAAAAGUCUCUGGGAAUGUGGCAUCUUCGGAUGUGUUAUAGCCCAUUGUCGUAUACGGUGGUUGGGAUUGAGGAACUCAGCACGCCGCAAGGCCGGGUCUUUUUUGACCACGUUCGUGCUUAGGAUGCUGGCAUAAUGGCUUUAAUCGACCCGUC
RNAcentral lists this ribosomal RNA (673 nucleotides) under Inocybe lacera var. lacera. Its description in RNAcentral is "eukaryotic LSU rRNA". It matches the Rfam family "Eukaryotic large subunit ribosomal RNA", at positions 1 to 653 of the family's 3401-position model. Lineage: Eukaryota; Fungi; Basidiomycota; Agaricomycetes; Agaricales; Inocybaceae. The record is from RNAcentral.